Molecule: long non-coding RNA, 1004 nt
Organism: Zootermopsis nevadensis
Lineage: Eukaryota; Metazoa; Arthropoda; Insecta; Blattodea; Termopsidae
Source: RefSeq, a predicted model, not a curated record
UACUGCAUAUUGCUCAUGCGCGGGAACGCACUGAAUACUACGAAUAAUAUGUAAAUAAAAGCCAAAGCUAACACGGAAAUAAACACGGUGCAUUGUAUCUUGAAGUAAAGCAAGGAACACCCAGUGACAUCUGUGAACAGUUCUUGAUGACAAUGUUAUUCUUGACAACACUGCUUUCAAAGCACGUGUUCUCUCAAGUUAUAUUUAUUUUUAAACAUAAUUAUUAUCACACAACUCUGAUACUGGACCGCAUCCAGCUCACAUUUAUUUCGUACCUCAGGCAAUGCCCACCAAAUGAAUUCUCACACAAUCUUACGCCACAGUAAAGCGGAGCUUCAUUGCACAACAGUAAAAAACAAGAUCCGAGAUUACUAUAGUGGUCAAGAUGUUCAUGUUGGUCUUCAGGGUUGUAUUGCAGCCAAAAAAGAUAUCGUUUCUGACAUCUGAAUGGAAGUAGUUAUAUUCCUUCGGAAAAGAGAUAUUUACCUGCGAAUCCACAUACUGUACAAACACUAACAUAUUCCAAAAAAAAUUUACACAUACUCAUAAUGGUGGCACUCAUGUUACAUACAUUUUAUACAAAAUGCACCAUUCCCAACACGAUCAUCACACAUCUACCAAAUCCUUUCUGAAAUAACAUUUAACAACAAGUUUCUUUCACAGUUUACUCCAUACAGUUGUUGUUUCUUGGCUCUACAACCCGGUUGUGGGUUUUUGCCGCAGUGUCAUACAGUGCAAACUUUUAAAUCUGAGAUACUACCAGUUUCAAAUCACUACCUGCAAUAUUAUCUAUAAAACAAAAUAUGUCUCCCCAAUUUCUUUCCAUCAUCCCUGCCUGGUGAUAGGGCUUACUAAGAAAUCAUAUAUGGAUAAAGUUAUCAACGUCCACCACAUGUCACCCCCUAAGAAACCAAAUAUAAUUUAUUGCUUAUAGUGAUCAAUUUAUUUUACAUUUACAAGCAUAAUAUCAUGUAGCACAAACACAAUAAAUAAUAGAUAUAUGA